Molecule: non-coding RNA, 171 nt
Organism: Alligator mississippiensis (American alligator)
Lineage: Eukaryota; Metazoa; Chordata; Crocodylia; Alligatoridae
Source: Rfam
AAACAUAUCUGGAAGGGGUAAUACCAUGAUCACAAAGGUGGUUUCCCAGAGUGAGGCCUGUCCCUUGCACUUCAGGCAGGCUGACCCCUACAUACAAGAUUUUCCAAAUGUGGGAAACUUGACUGCAAAAAUUCUGUGGCCAUGGGGGCUGCAUUCACACAACACCCCCUG